Molecule: transfer RNA, 68 nt
Filed under: Lepidodactylus sp. MPH-2012
Lineage: Eukaryota; Metazoa; Chordata; Lepidosauria; Squamata; Gekkonidae
Description: tRNA-Asn
Source: RNAcentral
CAGCGAGCCUUGAUCCCGCAAAAAACUUAGUUAACAACUAAACGCCCUAUCCAGCGGACUUUGAUCUA